GACGAACGCUGGCGGCGUGCUUAACACAUGCAAGUCGAACGGAAAGGCCCUGCUUUUGUGGGGUGCUCGAGUGGCGAACGGGUGAGUAACACGUGAGUAACCUGCCCUUGACUUUGGGAUAACUUCAGGAAACUGGGGCUAAUACCGGAUAGGAGCUCCUGCUGCAUGGUGGGGGUUGGAAAGUUUCGGCGGUUGGGGAUGGACUCGCGGCUUAUCAGCUUGUUGGUGGGGUAGUGGCUUACCAAGGCUUUGACGGGUAGCCGGCCUGAGAGGGUGACCGGCCACAUGGGGACGGAGAUACGGCCAAGACUCCUACGGGAGGCAAGAGUGGGGAAUAUUGCACAAGGGGCGGAAGCCUGAUGCAGCAACGCCGCGUGCGGGAUGAGGGCCUUCGGGUUGUAAACCGCUUUCGCCUGUGACGAAGCGUGAGUGACGGAAAUGGGUAAAGAAGCACGGGCUAACUACGU
Molecule: ribosomal RNA, 467 nt
Filed under: uncultured bacterium
Lineage: Bacteria
Description: partial 16S ribosomal RNA
Rfam family: Bacterial small subunit ribosomal RNA
Source: RNAcentral